Molecule: non-coding RNA, 30 nt
Filed under: Rattus norvegicus (Norway rat)
Lineage: Eukaryota; Metazoa; Chordata; Mammalia; Rodentia; Muridae
Source: RNAcentral
UGAUGUCAGGUGAAAUAGUCAUUGGCCACU